GCACGAGGUGUCCUCUCACCAGCAGCAGCUGCCAUCUCCUGAUUCAGGUUUGGAAUGCAGUAUAAGUUUUGCAAAUUUGUAAACAGUAGCUGAGAAGUUACACUACAGACUACAUCGCUAUCAAGGACCAUCCUGGCAGCAGCACUUUAAAGACUUUACUGACUGUUUGAUUUUUUUAACCUCCUGUAGCUGAUGUCCGAAAACAGUGGCCUGCAUGUUUUUGGGAGUUUAGGUCUAUGCUGAGUUUUACAGGAUUACUCAAACCAACCUCAAAGAUAUCUUCUCUUUUUCGGAUGAAUACGCUAUCAAGUUUUAUGGAUCAUGUUGUGGGCGAUAUGGAGAGAUAAUAAGAACCGCCCUGGACCAACUGGACAAUCAAGUAAUUAUUUAGCAUUCAAUCAUAUCACUGAUUAAAGGGGGGCAUAUUAAACUUUAUGGAGUUUACCAUGGAGUUUCUCUUUUUGACACAGAGCCAGAAGAUAUUUGCACAAUAGAGAUGGAGAUGGACAUCCUUAGCACUGUUGAA
Molecule: non-coding RNA, 526 nt
Organism: Danio rerio (zebrafish)
Lineage: Eukaryota; Metazoa; Chordata; Actinopteri; Cypriniformes; Danionidae
Source: Ensembl